This 240-nucleotide unclassified non-coding RNA is filed under the name soil metagenome. RNAcentral describes it as "partial contains 5.8S ribosomal RNA, internal transcribed spacer 2, and large subunit ribosomal RNA". The record is from RNAcentral.
AACGGUCUAUACCUGCGGUACCUGCGGAGGGAUCAUUAUAGAGUGGUAAACCCUCUGUAAAAGGGGGGGACCUCCUGUCCUUUGUAGGCUCUUUUUUAAAGGGCUUUUUUUAAUUUUCUGCUUCGGUGGGGUUAUCCCACCGGAACAACCUCAAAACUCUGAUCAAAAAAUCGUUCUGUCUGAGAACUUUUUAUAAUAAAAAAAAAACUUUUAACAACGGAUCUCUAGAUCGGAAGAGCA